AGAUUGAACGCUGGCGGCAUGCUUUACACAUGCAAGUCGAACGGUAACAGGGAGCUUGCUCCGCUGACGAGUGGCGAACGGGUGAGUAAUAUAUCGGAACGUACCCAAGAGUGGGGGAUAACGUAGCGAAAGUUACGCUAAUACCGCAUACGAUCUAAGGAUGAAAGCAGGGGAUCUUCGGACCUUGUGCUCCUGGAGCGGCCGAUAUCUGAUUAGCUAGUUGGUGAGGUAAAGGCUCACCAAGGCGACGAUCAGUAGCUGGUCUGAGAGGACGACCAGCCACACUGGAACUGAGACACGGUCCAGACUCCUACGGGAGGCAGCAGUGGGGAAUUUUGGACAAUGGGCGCAAGCCUGAUCCAGCAAUGCCGCGUGAGUGAAGAAGGCCUUCGGGUUGUAAAGCUCUUUUGUCAGGGAAGAAACGGGAGUGGCUAAUAUCCAUUCCUAAUGACGGUACCUGAAGAAUAAGCACCGGCUAACUACGUGCCAGCAGCCGCGGUAAUACGUAGGGUGCAAGCGUUAAUCGGAAUUACUGGGCGUAAAGCGUGCGCAGGCGGUUUUGUAAGUCUGUCGUGAAAUCCCCGGGCUCAACCUGGGAAUUGCGAUGGAGACUGCAAGGCUAGAAUCUGGCAGAGGGGGGUAGAAUUCCACGUGUAGCAGUGAAAUGCGUAGAGAUGUGGAGGAACACCGAUGGCGAAGGCAGCCCCCUGGGUCAAGAUUGACGCUCAUGCACGAAAGCGUGGGGAGCAAACAGGAUUAGAUACCCUGGUAGUCCACGCCCUAAACGAUGUCUACUAGUUGUCGGGUUUUAAUUAACUUGGUAACGCAGCUAACGCGUGAAGUAGACCGCCUGGGGAGUACGGUCGCAAGAUUAAAACUCAAAGGAAUUGACGGGGACCCGCACAAGCGGUGGAUGAUGUGGAUUAAUUCGAUGCAACGCGAAAAACCUUACCUACCCUUGACAUGUACGGAAGCCACGAGAGAUCGAGGUGUGCUCGAAAGAGAGCCGUAACACAGGUGCUGCAUGGCUGUCGUCAGCUCGUGUCGUGAGAUGUUGGGUUAAGUCCCGCAACGAGCGCAACCCUUGUCAUUAGUUGCUACAUUCAGUUGAGCACUCUAAUGAGACUGCCGGGACAAACCGGAGGAAGGUGGGGAUGACGUCAAGUCCUCAUGGCCCUUAUGGGUAGGGCUUCACACGUCAUACAAUGGUACAUACAGAGGGCCGCCAACCCGCGAGGGGGAGCUAAUCCCAGAAAGUGUAUCGUAGUCCGGAUCGCAGUCUGCAACUCGACUGCGUGAAGUUGGAAUCGCUAGUAAUCGCGGAUCAGCAUGUCGCGGUGAAUAC
Molecule: ribosomal RNA, 1345 nt
Filed under: uncultured bacterium
Lineage: Bacteria
Description: bacterial SSU rRNA
Rfam family: Bacterial small subunit ribosomal RNA
Source: RNAcentral